This 466-nucleotide ribosomal RNA is filed under the name Peptostreptococcus stomatis. RNAcentral describes it as "bacterial SSU rRNA". It matches the Rfam family "Bacterial small subunit ribosomal RNA", at positions 28 to 479 of the family's 1533-position model. Lineage: Bacteria; Bacillati; Bacillota; Clostridia; Peptostreptococcales; Peptostreptococcaceae. The record is from RNAcentral.
GAUGAACGCUGGCGGCGUGCCUAACACAUGCAAGUCGAGCGAGGGUUUGCUCAGUAUUGAGUAUUCCAAGUCUAGAAUGUUCAAUUCUGAGCAAAACCAAGCGGCGGACGGGUGAGUAACGCGUGGGUAACCUGCCCUAUACACAUGGAUAACAUACUGAAAAGUUUACUAAUACAUGAUAAUAUAUAUUUGCGGCAUCGCAGAUAUAUCAAAGUGUUAGCGGUAUAGGAUGGACCCGCGUCUGAUUAGCUAGUUGGUGAGAUAACUGCCCACCAAGGCGACGAUCAGUAGCCGACCUGAGAGGGUGAUCGGCCACAUUGGAACUGAGACACGGUCCAAACUCCUACGGGAGGCAGCAGUGGGGAAUAUUGCACAAUGGGCGAAAGCCUGAUGCAGCAACGCCGCGUGAACGAUGAAGGUCUUCGGAUCGUAAAGUUCUGUUGCAGGGGAAGAUAAUGACGGUACC